CCUACGGGGGGCAGCAGUAGGGAAUCUUCCGCAAUGGGCGAAAGCCUGACGGAGCAACGCCGCGUGAGUGAUGAAGGUCUUCGGAUCGUAAAACUCUGUUAUCAGGGAAGAACAAAUGUGUAAGUAACUGUGCACAUCUUGACGGUACCUGAUCAGAGAGCCACGGCUAACUACGUGCCAGCAGCCGCGGUAAUACGUAGGUGGCAAGCGUUAUCCGGAAUUAUUGGGCGUAAAGCGCGCGUAGGCGGUUUUUUAAGUCUGAUGUGAAAGCCCACGGCUC
RNAcentral lists this ribosomal RNA (280 nucleotides) under uncultured bacterium. RNAcentral describes it as "partial 16S ribosomal RNA". It matches the Rfam family "Bacterial small subunit ribosomal RNA", at positions 338 to 610 of the family's 1533-position model. The record is from RNAcentral.